CCUACGGGUGGCAGCAGUGGGGAAUAUUGGACAAUGGGCGAAAGCCUGAUCCAGCCAUGCCGCGUGUGUGAAGAAGGCCUUCGGGUUGUAAAGCACUUUCAGUGGGGAAGAAAGCCUUGGGGCUAAUACCCUCGAGGAAGGACAUCACCCACAGAAGAAGCACCGGCUAACUCCGUGCCAGCAGCCGCGGUAAUACGGAGGGUGCGAGCGUUAAUCGGAAUUACUGGGCGUAAAGCGCGCGUAGGCGGUCUGAUAAGCCGGUUGUGAAAGCCCCGGGCUCAACCUGGGAACGGCAUCCGGAACUGUCAGGCUAGAGUGCAGGAGAGGAAGGUAGAAUUCCCGGUGUAGCGGUGAAAUGCGUAGAGAUCGGGAGGAAUACCAGUGGCGAAGGCGGCCUUCCGGACUGACACUGACGCUGAGGUGCGAAAGCGUGGGUAGCAAACAGGAUUAGAUACCCGGGUAGUC
This 465-nucleotide ribosomal RNA is filed under the name Vreelandella stevensii. RNAcentral's name for it is "partial 16S ribosomal RNA". It matches the Rfam family "Bacterial small subunit ribosomal RNA", at positions 338 to 795 of the family's 1533-position model. Lineage: Bacteria; Pseudomonadati; Pseudomonadota; Gammaproteobacteria; Oceanospirillales; Halomonadaceae. The record is from RNAcentral.